CCUACGGGCGGCAGCAGUGGGGAAUAUUGGACAAUGGGCGAAAGCCUGAUCCAGCCAUGCCGCGUGUGUGAAGAAGGCCUUCGGGUUGUAAAGCACUUUCAGUGGGGAAGAAAGCCUUGGGGCUAAUACCCUCGAGGAAGGACAUCACCCACAGAAGAAGCACCGGCUAACUCCGUGCCAGCAGCCGCGGUAAUACGGAGGGUGCGAGCGUUAAUCGGAAUUACUGGGCGUAAAGCGCGCGUAGGCGGUCUGAUAAGCCGGUUGUGAAAGCCCCGGGCUCAACCUGGGAACGGCAUCCGGAACUGUCAGGCUAGAGUGCAGGAGAGGAAGGUAGAAUUCCCGGUGUAGCGGUGAAAUGCGUAGAGAUCGGGAGGAAUACCAGUGGCGAAGGCGGCCUUCUGGACUGACACUGACGCUGAGGUGCGAAAGCGUGGGUAGCAAACAGGAUUAGAUACCGAGUAGUC
Molecule: ribosomal RNA, 464 nt
Filed under: Vreelandella stevensii
Lineage: Bacteria; Pseudomonadati; Pseudomonadota; Gammaproteobacteria; Oceanospirillales; Halomonadaceae
Description: partial 16S ribosomal RNA
Rfam family: Bacterial small subunit ribosomal RNA
Source: RNAcentral